RNAcentral lists this small nucleolar RNA (56 nucleotides) under hot springs metagenome. Its description in RNAcentral is "Small nucleolar RNA sR4". It matches the Rfam family "Small nucleolar RNA sR4". The record is from Rfam by way of RNAcentral.
CUUGAUGAGUACACUCUUUGCUGAUUCAAUGAGGAGAGUGGCCAGGGCUGAAGAGG